Molecule: ribosomal RNA, 253 nt
Filed under: uncultured bacterium
Lineage: Bacteria
Description: partial 16S ribosomal RNA
Rfam family: Bacterial small subunit ribosomal RNA
Source: RNAcentral
UACGGGGGGGGCAAGCGUUGUUCGGAAUUACUGGGCGUAAAGGGCUCGUAGGCGGCCAACUAAGUCAUACGUGAAAUCCCUCAGCUUAACUGGGGAACUGCGUGUGAUACUGGAUGGCUUGGAUUUGGGAGAGGGAUGCGGAAUUCCAGGUGUAGCGGUGAAAUGCGUAGAUAUCUGGAGGAACACCUAUGGCGAAGGCAGCUCGCUGGGACGUUACUGACGCUGAGACGCGAAAGCGUGGGGAGCAAACAGG